GACGUAGGGCGCGAGCGUUGUCCGGAUUUAUUGGGCGUAAAGAGCUCGUAGGCGGCUAAGUAAGUCGGGCGUGAAAUCCCACGGCUCAACCGUGGAAGUGCACUCGAAACUGCAUAGCUAGAGUCCUGGAGAGGAAGGUGGAAUGCUUGGUGUAGAGGUGAAAUUCGUAGAUAUCAAGCGGAACACCGGUGGCGAAGGCGGCCUUCUGGGACAGUGACUGACGCUGAGACGCGAAAGCGUGGGGAGCAAACAGGG
Molecule: ribosomal RNA, 255 nt
Filed under: uncultured bacterium
Lineage: Bacteria
Description: partial 16S ribosomal RNA
Rfam family: Bacterial small subunit ribosomal RNA
Source: RNAcentral